AAUUCGGAUCAGGCAAUUCCGCUGGUUUGACCCAUUUUUAAACGAUCGUUUGUCCGGUCUGACCUUUUUUGAAAUUUCAAAUUUUAAAUUUAAGAUUUGAAAUUUAAUUUUAAAAUCUUAAAAUUUGAAAUUUAAAAAUUCAAAUAUAAAAUUAAAAAUUAAAAAUUAAAAUUAAAAUUAAAAUUUGAAUCUAAAAUUAAAAUAAAAAUUUAAAAUUUGAGUAAAAAAUCUGAGUCAAAUUUUAAGAAGCAGGUUUCAACUGCUUAAAAAUCAGAAUCAAAAAUUUGAAAAUAAAAUUAUCAAAUACUCAAUUGAGCUAAAAUUUAUUUUUGAGCUAAAAAUUUCUCUUCAAAAGUUAGCCGAAACAACCACUAAUUCUUUAACAAAAAAAUUGAUUUGAAGAACUGACGGUCCUAAUGUAAGUGGCAAAGGACUCGGUCGUUGAUAUUGAAAGUUUCAAAUUCGAAUUCUAAUUCAUUCAUAUUUUCAGCUAAAUUUAUUUAUUUUUUUAAAAAAUAAACAAACCGGCUAUCUUGCUAUCUCUCUCAAAAAAGUAAAAAAAAUACGGUGAAUGAUUUACCGUGUUCAACUUAACUAACUGGCCCUAAUCCAGCCCACAUAACGCUGACGUGUCGCUUGCGUAACAAGGUCGUUACUUUUUUUACAAACAUAAAUUUAUUUUUAAAAUUAAUUGUUUUCAUA
This 702-nucleotide long non-coding RNA is filed under the name Ananas comosus (pineapple). RNAcentral describes it as "long non-coding RNA (ACOM_LNC038177)". The record is from RNAcentral. Lineage: Eukaryota; Viridiplantae; Streptophyta; Magnoliopsida; Poales; Bromeliaceae.